AUUUAGGUUUUUUGCUUGACCAAGAAGCAACCUAUCCUUAAUGCAAAGCCAUUCACUUGAUCUAUGAUCAAGAUGAAUUAGAUUUGAAUCAAGGAAGGUUAAGCCUCCCAUAUGUCAAGGCUAACAACCAAUCUCUAACUCAUUGAUCAAAAAGAAAAAGAAGAAAAAGAAGAAUGAAUAAGAAUGUACAUGAAUUGAAAUUCAAAA
This 207-nucleotide long non-coding RNA is filed under the name Lathyrus oleraceus (garden pea). Its description in RNAcentral is "Pisum sativum (pea) long non-coding RNA (PSAT_LNC000575)". Lineage: Eukaryota; Viridiplantae; Streptophyta; Magnoliopsida; Fabales; Fabaceae. The record is from RNAcentral.